GCAGGUAGCCGUUUGUUCUUGUGUCAGAUAAGCAGCCACACCGUCAGAAUGGGCCGUCUUGCUGCCUUCCUCUUUGUUUCCAUGCUUGCGGCUCCUGUUCUGUGCCAGUUGAUCACACCUUUCCAAGCCUGCCAGAUGAAAUGUUUGGACGACCAAAACGCAACAUGGCCGAACCACGCCACGCCGGAGAUUUACGAAUAUUGCCGGACACAUUGUCUUGAACACUGGCAAGAUUUACUAUUCGGGAAUCAAGGCACCCUGGGAUAGACGACCAUAGAGCUACUGUACAAGCUUAGAUUUCCAUCACAUUGUGUAAUAAAGGUUUUCAAACAAAACGCCAA
Long non-coding RNA from Haliotis rubra (blacklip abalone), 341 nucleotides. RefSeq lists it as uncharacterized. The record is from RefSeq and is a predicted model, not a curated record. Lineage: Eukaryota; Metazoa; Mollusca; Gastropoda; Lepetellida; Haliotidae. The transcript has 3 exons.